RNAcentral lists this ribosomal RNA (497 nucleotides) under uncultured bacterium. RNAcentral's name for it is "partial 16S ribosomal RNA". It matches the Rfam family "Bacterial small subunit ribosomal RNA", at positions 28 to 507 of the family's 1533-position model. The record is from RNAcentral.
GAUGAACGCUGGCGGCGUGCCUAAUACAUGCAAGUCGAGCGAACGGACGAGAAGCUUGCUUUUCUGAUGUUAGCGGCGGACGGGUGAGUAACACGUGGAUACCCUACCUAUAAGACUGGGAUAACUUCGGGAAACCGGAGCUAAUACCGGAUAAUAUUUUGAACCGCAUGGUUCAAAAGUGAAAGACGGUCUUGCUGUCACUUAUAGAUGGAUCCGCGCUGCAUUAGCUAGUUGGUAAGGUAACGGCUUACCAAGGCAACGAUGCAUAGCCGACCUGAGAGGGUGAUCGGCCGCACUGGAACUGAGACACGGUCCAGACUCCUACGGGAGGCAGCAGUAGGGAAUCUUCCGCAAUGGGCGAAAGCCUGACGGAGCAACGCCGCGUGAGUGAUGAAGGUCUUCGGAUCGUAAAACUCUGUUAUUAGGGAAGAACAUAUGUGUAAGUAACUGUGCACAUCUUGACGGUACCUAAUCAGAAAGCCACGGCUAACUACGUG